AUUGAACGCUGGCGGCAUGCCUUACACAUGCAAGUCGAACGGUAACAGGUCUUCGGAUGCUGACGAGUGGCGAACGGGUGAGUAAUACAUCGGAACGUGCCCGAUCGUGGGGGAUAACGAGGCGAAAGCUUUGCUAAUACCGCAUACGAUCUACGGAUGAAAGCGGGGGAUCUUCGGACCUCGCGCGGACGGAGCGGCCGAUGGCAGAUUAGGUAGUUGGUGGGAUAAAAGCUUACCAAGCCGACGAUCUGUAGCUGGUCUGAGAGGAUGAUCAGCCACACUGGGACUGAGACACGGCCCAGACUCCUACGGGAGGCAGCAGUGGGGAAUUUUGGACAAUGGGCGAAAGCCUGAUCCAGCCAUGCCGCGUGCAGGAUGAAGGCCUUCGGGUUGUAAACUGCUUUUGUACGGAACGAAAAGCCUCUUUCUAAUAAAGAGGGUCAUGACGUACCUAGAUAG
Molecule: ribosomal RNA, 459 nt
Filed under: Diaphorobacter nitroreducens
Lineage: Bacteria; Pseudomonadati; Pseudomonadota; Betaproteobacteria; Burkholderiales; Comamonadaceae
Description: bacterial SSU rRNA
Rfam family: Bacterial small subunit ribosomal RNA
Source: RNAcentral